GAUGGAUAUCUUUGGGAGCCAGUGCAAACGCAACAGUUUUGUAAGGUAGGGCAUAGGGUGAAUACUGCCAGAUAAGUCUAGCCUUACAGGUCUGUUGCGUGUGCUUUUAUUUGAUAAAUUCUAACUGAAUUGGUAGCACAUGAACUCCAUAAUAACGAAUCGGUUACAACAUAAGCUAGGAUAUACCUUUAAAC
Molecule: small RNA, 194 nt
Filed under: Xenorhabdus vietnamensis
Lineage: Bacteria; Pseudomonadati; Pseudomonadota; Gammaproteobacteria; Enterobacterales; Morganellaceae
Description: rncO
Rfam family: rncO
About the family: This family represents a bacterial regulatory element (rncO) found in the rnc leader sequence. The rnc operon is negatively auto-regulated by transcript stability. rnc, the first gene in the operon codes for RNase III which cleaves the long rncO stem II leading to transcript degradation and a reduction in translation.
Source: RNAcentral